Molecule: long non-coding RNA, 9649 nt
Filed under: Salvia miltiorrhiza (redroot sage)
Lineage: Eukaryota; Viridiplantae; Streptophyta; Magnoliopsida; Lamiales; Lamiaceae
Description: long non-coding RNA (SMIL_LNC007980)
Source: RNAcentral
AUAAGCCGAUUUGAACUUGAAUUUCAGAAGCCUUACCCCAUUCCAGCGCAAUAAGGCCCGAUUAACGAAGUUUUGAAGCUCUCUAGCAUCAUCAAAAUCCAUAGCAGCAUUGUCGAAAUUAAGGUAGGGUGCGGUGAUCCAAAGGUUUUUCCAGCGCUUGGAUAGAAUCGUUGUCCUAACAACAUCAGUCAUAGGCAACGACCAAAAUAUGUGAAAUAUUAACGAGUCCGGCAACUCACUGAGUCGAUCCAUGAAACCCUCUGAAACAUAAUGAAGCAUCAAUGAAUGAAAUGUGCAUCAACAACUCAGAAUUCACCUUUAAUGGAAGCAAAAUAGCACAUUGACAAGAUUACCUCGAGAUGAACGCUUCUUCAUUCUCGCGCCAAAAAAACCCUUGCUUGAGCUGAUGAACAUAACACACGAGACUGAAAAGGCAUUAAAGUUGAAAAUUAAGCGUUGGGUCCCUAAAAUAAAUUCAUCUUUUUAGUUUUGGGACCUCCCCAAAUAAGUUUCUCUUUCUUUGUUUUUAUUUUUGGACAAUUAUCUCACGACUAAUAAUAAUUUAUUUAUUCUUACUUUUUACUUUUUCACCACUUCCAAUACUAAUUACUCCAUCCGUCCGCCAAAAGUAUUCCACAAUUACUAUAUUUGGCGUCAGCAAAAAGUAUUCCACUUUCCUUUUUAAGUCAUGGUCCCACCAUCCACCUUUAUAUUUUAUCCUUACAAACACUCUUUAUUUACAAAAAACUCACCUCAAAUUCAAUCUCAACCACACAUCUCAUAAAGUGGUGGGACCCUUUCUCCACUACAUCAACAUCAUCACCAAUUUUAUUAAACUCCGUGUCCAGCCAAAGUGGAAUACUUUUGGCGGACGGAGGGAGUAUAAUAUUUUUUCACCAUUCCCAAUACUAAUUACUCCAUCCGUCCCACUGCAAUAAGCUCACUUCUUUUGGGCACGGAAAUUAAGAAAAUUUACUUUUUAGUAGCAAAGUGGUAGUAAAGUGGUGUGGUCCACACCAAUUUAGUAGUACAACUUUUUCUUCAAAAUGGAAAAUGAGUUUAUUGGAGUGGGACAUCCCCAAAAGGAAAAUGAACCUAUUAGAGUGGGACGGAUGGAGUAUAGCAUAUUUUUUUCCACUAAUAUACUUUAUCACUUUUUCUUAAAAUUCGUGCUGUCCCCAAAGAGGAAUUUAUUUUGGGGACAGAGGGAGUAUUCCAGAAAUUUGAUGAUGAGAUUCUUUUGGUAAAAAAUUUUUAUAGGGGUUUUAACUAUUUUAAAGUGUUAUUCGUAUAUGUGGAAGAGGCAAUCUGUUUUUCAUUUUGUCACCAACCAAAACCAUUGGCAGAUAACCAUUUUAUCUCUCUUAAUUAAAAAGGGACUUUAAAAUUGGUUUUAAAAAUUUUUAUUUUCAUUUUACUUAAUAUACCUUUUUAUUUAAAACCAAACAUUUCAUUAAAUUUAAAAUUUAAGCAUUACAUUGAUUAAAAUAAAAUAUAAUAAUAAAAAUAUAUUACAAUAAUAUAAAUAAAAUGAAGAGUUGGAAGAGGAGUUGGAAAAAUAAGACAUUAUUAGAGGAGAAAAAUGAAAAAUAAAAGAUGAGUAGUAGUAAUUGAUAAAAUCGAAUAAAUGAAAUACCUAUUUAUAGAUAAAUUUUAUAAUAGAAAAAAGCGAAACAACAGUUGCAGUGACUAAUUAAAAAAAUAGACAAAAAAGAACCAUUGGGAUCAAUUUAAAAUUUAAUUUUAAAAUAGCACGCGCAUAGCAUGCGCCUCAUAUUUAUCGACGAAAAUCCGACAUGAGGCUUAAAGCUCGGCACGAGCUUGAGGUGCGGCACUAGGAGUAGGAGGGCAGUGCGGAUAGCUGUGCUCAUUGUGGCAAUUAGAGUCCCGUUGUGAAUGCUCUAAAUAAGAAUAUAUCUUAUACACUAAUAUAGUGACAUGUAUUUAUUCGUAUGUAUAGUAUUUAUAUUAGGUUCCUUAAGGUCUUCAUUAUAAUACUGUACUUGUUUAAUAUGUUCACCUCGAUCAAUUAACGAACAAGGAUAAUGCAUCAUUCAUUUUUGUUAGAGCUAAUUAGUUUAUUUAUAUGGUUUUAUCUUUUUUAUUAAACUAGCAGAAAUAGCGUCCAUUGUACGCAUAAUUAAUAUUAUUUUAUUUGAUAAAAUAUAAAUAUAAUAUUUAUUAUAUUUAAUUUUCAAUUAACAAUUUGAUCUAUUUAAUUUUUUUAAUUCUAUUAUUUAUCUCUUACCACGAUUAAUUAGAAAGAAUUGGUAAGACCGAGAGAGUAUAAUUAAUUGAUAUAUAUCACAUAAAUUUAGUGUAAUAUCUAAUGAAUUAAUAUAUUCUUAUAAAUAUAUAACAUGUAAAAUAACUUUAAAAUAAAAAUACAAUAGGAAUAAAAUAGGUCAUCCACAUAUUAUGUCUAAAGCACUUUUUAUAUAUUUUUAUAUAUUAGUAUAGAUAUAUUACAUUUAAGAGAAUAUAUAUUGUUAGUUUGCAUUUGUAACAUAUAUUAAUUUGGUUAUGGGCCGGAGUUUGGGCUCACCGUCCUUAAUUUUCAAGCUUCAAUAACUCUAUAAAUAGUAUCAAACCGCAAACACGUUUCUAUGAAAUCUAUUUUUUAAUGUUUAGAACUUAGAAACCCAAAAACUUUUUUAUUCCAUGGGCAACUCACUAUAAGAAGCUCCAUCGUGAUUAUGUUUUUUUUUUCCUUUAUUAAUUUAACACAAUAUUUAGUUGAUAACUAAGAAAAGAGGUGACAGUUUCAGUUCUCUUUUGCUUGAAUACCAACAGAAAUCUAAAUGAUCGACGUUUUAUAUGUUAGAGAAAUGAAAUUGUUAGCUAUCAUAUGAAGCACUAGAUUAAUUUGACAUUGGGAAGUAAAAGCAAGAUAAACAACAAUCUAGAUUAACAAGAGUGCUACUAAUGAAAAUUGCUCUGCUUCCCUAAAUAAGCAAAUAUAUAAAGAACAAUUGAAGACGAAACAAAAGGAUAUCAAGCUCAGCACAUACUGCAUUCCUAUGAUUGAAGACAUAACUUGGUAAGAUCAAUAUUCAAGAAAGUAAAUUGUGCAGUUCAUGAGGUUUCAUUCAUAGCACUAAGAAAUUCAUCCAAAAGUGUCGAACUGCUCUACUGCCCUGAAUAAGCAAAAUACAACAACAAAAUGAAACAAACAAGGUAACAAAAACUGAAACAGGGUUAAAGAAAAGUAAAAUCCAACUCCCCAGAUCGGAGCAUAAUGCCGUCAUUGCAAAAUAUUUACAGAAAAUGUACGACAAACGCUAUUACCCGUCCAAGAAGACAAUCAGCUAGUUACUUGGAGUCAUGUGGCAUUCCUAUGAUUAAAGACAUAACUUGGUAAGAUCAAUAUUCACAGAAAAUCAAUUGAGCAGUUGGGGAGGAUCUUGGCAUUCUCAGCAGUUUCUGUGAUGCCAAAAACAAAGAUCUUGGCAUGAUUCCUUCUACUCUGAACACCAGCUUUUCUAGAUUGCUUGCGUGUUUUAACAAAAACUCUAAAAACGGAAAUACGUCGUCAUCCUCAUCCUCAUCCCAAAUAACCUCAACUGUCCUCAACUGCAAAAAGGACUCGGGAGGAUAUGCUUCAAACUUGAGGUAGCUAUUGGCAUCAAAGUUGAGUGACUCUUGGUUUUUAUGCAUUUCAUAUUCUCCUCUAUCGUCAAGGACUAACUUCUUUAAUUGAGGAAAACUCUCAAGUAGACCUACUAAUAGUUUGUAGUCAUUGAAAUGAAAUCCAAGUUGCAAGGACUUGACAUUAGGAAAAGAGGAAUUCAUGCAUCUCUUAAUCAUAGCUCCAAGCACCUGAUGUCAAAUAAGUUCAUAAUAAUAAUCAGCUCACUGAUGCAAACACCAAGUAAGAUAAAAGGCAAGCAUUGAUUUUUAGGGAUGCAACAAUGAUUUCAUCAAAUUAAAAGAAUGUCAAACAUUACAUAUCAUUUAUAGUUAUUACAAUGCUAACAUACAAGUCACAAGCUUGAUGUUACAAAGUAAUGCAUAUAUAUAAAUUCUAGAAUGGAUUUAAAAAGGAUAGGAGUUAGUUGCAUGAUGAAAGUGGGAACUCUAAUAUACGUGGUUCACAUGCACACACUAAUUGAAGUUAGAAAUAAGAAAACAUGACUUAACAACUAUGCUCAAUAAAUAAUGAAAACUUCAUCAACAUAUUUAGAAUUAAUUUGAUCUCUUCAGCCUCAUUGCUACUCUAUUAAUACAUAACAAAUGCAAGACGCAUAAGAUAGUUUAAAGAAACCGAACCUUGAUGCAACAGAACAUUAAUAUGACGUUUUCAACAUGUUGGAUGGCUGAGAGAAUUUGACAGAACGCAUCUCCCAGAAAAUCAUCCGGGGUAAACAAGCCACGCUCAGUGUCUAUCCCGGGAAAGGAAUCAUAUACAUCAAAAUAAUGUAGACCAGAUAGCCCAAGAGUUGCGUGGGUUAAAGAUGAGACAUUAACCAACAGACACUUUUUAUAUGGAGCUCCUUCAAUUUCCAAGGUUUCAAGAUUUGGGGUACAAAUUAUCAGUUCUGAAUCCCAACAUUGAUAACCAAGAAGAGUAUAAUACUUUCGAAUCGACAGCACUUUCAAACUAGUAGAUCGGAAAGACAAGUUUUCAUACUCUCUAUCUGCAAAAGACAAGAUCAAGACUUCCAACCGAGGACUACCAGAUAAUAUUUGGUUAACCACAUGAUCAGUGACCCCAAAGCCAUCAAUAAUUGUUAAACUUUUGAGUUGAUUCCACUGCACAUCCCCAUAAACUCUAAAGUCUCUAAAGUUACAAUCCUCUAACCAUAACACUUUAAGAGAUGAGCACGAGUAUACACACUGCGGCAAACAGUACAUGUCGUCAAACAGAAUAUGCAAGUAUAAUUCUUCGACCCCCUUAUCCUUAGCAAAUUGAAGCCACAAAUCAAUACCCAAACAGAUGGAAUCAUCAAACUCAUAACCCGAUUUGAACUUGAAUUUCAGAACCCUUACCCCAUUCCAGCGUACUAAGGCCCGAUUAACGAAGUUUUGAAGCUCUCUACCAUCAUCAAAAUCCAUAGCACCAUUGUCGAAAUUAAGGUAGGGAGCGGUGGUCCAAAGGUUUUUCCAGCGCUUCGAUAGAAAUGUCGUCCUAACAACAUCAGUCAUAGGCAACGACCAAAAUAUGUGAAAUAUUAUCGAGUCCGGCAACUCACUGAGUCGAUCCAUGAAACCCUCUGAAACAUAAUGAAGCAUCAAAGGAAUGAAAUGUGCAUCAAAAACUCAGAAUUCACCUUUAAUGGAAGCAAAAUAACACAUUGUAGUAUCAAAUUCUCGAAGAUUACCUCAAGAUGAACGCUUCUUCGCUCUCGCGCCAACAAAACCCUUGUUUGAGCUAAUGAACAAACAAAGGAGACUCAAAAGGCAUUGUAGCAUUGCUGCCUAAAAGCGCUAAAGUGGAAAAUUAAGCUUGGAACUUGGGGUUUUAAAAUCGCAAAUCGAAAUAAAAGCUGCUAUUGCAUUCUUUUAUAGGGGUUUUAAUUUACGGUAAUGUUCUUUGAACAAAAUAUAUGUCCGCACAAAAAUAUGGUUAAAUAUUUUUAAAAGAUAAAUUUAUUUAAAAUUUUUGGUUCAAACAAAACAAGAAUUUUGUUAGUUUUAUUCAUUUCUCCUUAUUAUAUUUUUUGUAAUUAUUUAAUAAUAUUUUUAAUUUUUAUUAUUUUUAAAGUGCAAAAAUUACAAAAAAAGGAAAAUAAUAAAAAUUAAAAGAAUUGUUAAAAAAUUACAAAAAAAACUACAAUAUGAAAAAAUUAAUAAAGCUAAAUAAAUCCUGUUUGAAUUUGAACCAAAGAUUAUAAAUAAAUCAAGUUUUUUAAAUUUAUGACCUUUUUUUAUCAGAAUAAAUUUUGUCCAAAUAACACUGCCAUUUAAUUUAUUCUGUCACCAACCAAAACCAUUGGCAGAUUACCAUUUUAUCUCUCUUAAUUAAUACCUUCUCAUCAAAAGCGAGGUGGAUAUUUUUGUGAUAUUGGAGUAAUUACUAAUAGCAUCCACUUAAGAGCUACUACUUUAUAAGAAGGGACUUUAAAAUUGGUUUGAAAAUUUUUAUUUUUAUUUUAUUCAAAUUGAUUUCUUCAUUUUUGAAAUCAAACAUUUUAUUAAGUUUUAAAUUUAAACAUUACAAUGAUUAAAACAAAAUAUAGUAAUAAAAAAAUAUUACAAUAAUUAAAUAAAAUGAAGAGUUAGUUGGAAGAGGAGUGGGAAGAAGAAGACAUUUUAAAGGAGGAGAAUGAUAGAAAAUGAGUAGUGAGAAUUGAUGUGAAAAAUAGCAGAAAUGAAAUACUCAAUAGAUCAAUUUUAGAAUAAAAAAAAGUGAAACAACCGUUGCAUGACUAAUUAAAAGAAAUCGACAGAAAGAGCCAUUGAGAUCAAUUUAAAAUUUAAUUUUAAAAUGGUGUGCACAUAGGUUGAGCCUCAUAUUUCUAGACGAAAGUCUGACGUGAGGCUUAAAGCUCGGCACGAGCUUGAGGUGCGGCACUGGGAGGGCAGUGCGGAUAGUGGGGCUCGAUGUAGCAGGUACAGUCCCGUUGUGGCCCGUGUGGAUGCUCUAAAUAAAAAUAUAUAGUGUAUUUAUAUUAGGUAGCUUCCUUAAGGUGUAGUCUUCAUUAUAAUACCGCAGUCUUGUUUAAGGUUCACCUCAAUCAAUUAACGAACAAGGAUAAUGUAUCAUUCAUAUUUGUUAGAGCUAAUUUAUUAAUUCUAUUUUAUUUGUAUAGGUUUGUCUUUUUUAUUAAAUAUAUUAUAUUUAGGACAAUAUAUAUUGUUAGUUUGCAUUUGCAACAUAUUAAUUUGGUCAUGGCCGGAAAUAAUUUGGUUAUGGGCCGUUAUUUGGGCUCACCAUCCUUAAUUUUCAAGUUUCAAUAACUCUAUAAAUAGAACCCAAAAAUUGCACCAAAUAAAACCCCAAACACGUUUCUAUGAAAUCUAUUUUUUAAUGUUUAGAACUUAGAAACCCAAAAACUUUUUUAUUCCAUGGGCAACUCACUAUAAGAAGCUCCAUCGUGAUUAUGUUUUUUUUUUUUCCCUUUAUUAGUUUAACAGAAUAUUUAGUUGAUAACUAAGAAAAGAGGUGACAAUUUCAGUUCUCUUUUGCUUGAAUACCAACAGAAAUCUGAAUGAUCGACGUUUUAUACGUGAGAGAAAUGAAAUUGUUAGCCUAUCAUAUGAAGCACUAGAUUAAUUUGACAUUGGGAAGUAAAGCAAGAUAAACAACAAUAGUGCUACUAAUGAAAAUUGCUCUGCUUCCCUAAAUAAGCAAAUAUAUAAAGAAAAUUUGAAGACGAAACAAAAGGAUAUCAAGCUCAGCACAUACUGCAUUCCUAUGAAUAUGAUUGAAGACAUAACUUGGUAAGAUCAAUAUUCAAAAAAGUAAAUUGUGCAGUUCAUGAGGUUUCAUUCAUAGCACUAAGAAAUUCAUCCAAAAGUGUCGAACUGCUCUACUGCCCUGAAUAAGCAAAAUACAACAACAAAAUGAAACAAACAAGGUAACAAAAACUGAAACAGGGUUAAAGAAAAGUAAAAUCCAACUCCCCAGAUCGGAGCAUAAUGCCGUCAUUGCAAAAUAUUUACAGAAAAUGUACGACAAACGCUAUUACCCGUCCAAGAAGACAAUCAGCUAGUUACUUGGAGUCAUGUGGCAUUCCUAUGAUUAGAGACAUAACUUGGUAAGAUCAAUAUUCACAGAAAAUCAAUUGAGCAGUUGGGGAGGAUCUUGGCAUUCUCAGCAGUUUCUGUGAUGCCCGAAACAAAGAUUUUGAUGGACAUUUAGGUGGCAUGAUUCCUCUUACUCUGAACACCAUCUUUUCUAGAUUGCUCGCGUAUUUUAACAGAAACUCUAAAAACGGAAAUACUUCGUCAUCCUCAUCCUCAUCCCAAAUAACCUCAACUGUCCUCAACUGCAGAAAGGACUCGGGAGGAUAUGCUUCAAACUUGAGGGAGCUCUUGGCAUCAAAGUUGAGUGACUCUUGGUUUUCAUGCAUCUCGAAUCCUACUCUACAUUUAAGGACUAACUUCUUUAAUUGAGGAAAACUCUCAAGUAGACUUACUAAUAGUUUGUAGUCAUUGAAACAAAAUCCAAGAUGCAAGGACUUGACAUUAGGAAAAGAGGAAGUCAUGCAUCUCUUUAUCAUAGCUCCAAGCACCUGACGUAAAACAAGUUCAUGAUAAUAAUCAGCUCACUGAAGCAAACACCAAGUAAGAAAAAAAGGCAAGCAUUGAUUUUUAGGGAUGCAACAAUGACUUCAUCAAAUUAAAAGAAUGUCAAACAUUCCAUAUCAUUUAUGGUUAUUAGUUAUUACAAUACUAACAUACAAGUCACAAGCUUGAUGCUACAAAGUAAUGCGUAUAUAAAAAUUCUAGAAUGGAUUUAAAAAGGCCAAAAAAGGAUAGGAGUUAGUUGCAUGAUGAAAGUGGGAACUGUAAUAUAAGUGGUUCAGUUAAAGAAGCCAAUGAUGCAACAAAGAAAGCAUACAAAGACCACCAUGCCAUCCAAGCUGACAUGCAUUGAAGUUAGAAUUAAGAAAACAUGACUAACAACUAUGCUAAAUAAAUAAUGAAAACUUCAUCAACAUAUUUAGAAAUUAAUUUGAUCACUUCAUCCUCAUUGCUACUCUAUCAAUACAUAUAUAACAAAUGCAAGACGCAUAAGAUUAGUUUAAAGAACCGAACCUUGAUGCAACAGAACAUUAAUGUGACAUUUUCAACAUGUUGGAUGGUUGAGAGAAUUUGACAGAACACGUCUCCCAGAAAAUCAUCCGAGGUAAACAAGCCACGCUCGGUGUCCAUCCCAGGAAAGUCCACAUCGUAUACAUCAAAGCAAUGUAGACCAAAAAACGCAAGAGUUGCGUGGGUUAAAGAUGAGACAUUCACCAACAGACACUUUUUAUAUGGAGCUCCUUUAAUUUCUAAGGUGUGAAGAUUUGGGGUGCAAAUUCUCAGUUCUGAAUCCCAACAUAGUUCAGCACAAAAUUGAAAAUACCUGUGAAUCGACAGCACUUUCAAACUAGUAGAUUGGAUACACAAGUUUUCACCUAUAUCUAGAAAAGACAUGAUCAAGACUUCCAACCGAGGACUACCACACAAUAUUUGGUUAAUCACACGUUCAGUGACCUCAUCACCAUUAAUAAUUGUCAAACUCUUGAGUUGAUUCCACUGAACAUUCCCAUAAACUCUCAAGUUACAAUCCUCAAACGAUAACACUUUAAGCGAUGAACAUGAGUAUACACACUGCGGCACCCAGUAUAUGUCGUCAUUAUCAUUAAUUUCAAACAGAAUAUGUAAGUAUAAUUCUUCGACCCCCUUAUCCUUGGCAAAUUGAACCCACAAAUCAGUACCCAAACACAUGGACUCAUCAAACUCAUAAAUCGAUUUGAACUUGAAUUUCAGAAGCCUUACCCCAUUCCAGCGCAAUAAGGCCCGAUUAACGAAGUUUUGAAUCUUUGUAUCAUCAUCAAAGUUCAUGGCAGCAUUGUCGAAAUUAAGGUAGGGUGCGGUGGUCCAAAGGUUUUUCCAGCGCUUCGAUAGAAUCGUUGUCCUAACAACAUCAGUCAUAGGCAACGACCAAAAUAUGUGAAAUAUGAUCGAGUCCGGCAACUCACUGAGUCGAUCCAUCAAA